UCCCUACAAAAACGUUUUAAUAGUAAAACUUCAGAUGGAAUUUUCCUGAAGAGACUGCCCGACCGUGUAAAUGUUUGAGAGGUUGGAUUUUUAUUUUCCUAACUUGACACCUUCCCUUUUUGCAUCCUCCAGAAUGCAUUUCCUUACUGUAAGUUUACCUGCAUCUGCCAAACAAUGGAAUUCACCAUCAAUGUGCAGGAAAGGGAAUGCAGCCCCUUACAGGGACCUUCAGCAUUUUUUUGAGUUCUGCUAAUGAAGAAGAAACUCCCAGCCCCACCUCAAGAACAUCAAACAUCAUGCCAUGAUACUUCCAUUGCCCAGACUGACACAUCGCUAAGCCCUGAAAUGGAAAAACCAAAGCAGUUGGUUUUACCUUAUGGCUGGGAAAGUAAUGUGGACAGAUCAUCAGGUUCAAGGAGCAGUUGCUUGAAGACAAAACAAAGGAGCCUGGGAACAAAG
Molecule: long non-coding RNA, 459 nt
Filed under: Neogale vison (American mink)
Lineage: Eukaryota; Metazoa; Chordata; Mammalia; Carnivora; Mustelidae
Description: Neovison vison (American mink) lncRNA (ENSNVIG00000002427.1)
Source: RNAcentral